RNAcentral lists this unclassified non-coding RNA (910 nucleotides) under Hevea brasiliensis (rubber tree). Lineage: Eukaryota; Viridiplantae; Streptophyta; Magnoliopsida; Malpighiales; Euphorbiaceae. The record is from RNAcentral.
GGAAAAAACUUGAUAAUACUUGUAAAUAGAAAUAUUGAUCAGUAUAUUGAAAUUGUACAAAGUAGCAAACAUCUGUAGGAACUAAAACAAGAAGAAAAUUACAUCAAACAUAGCUUAUUCGCAAUGAUAUGUUCAUUAUUUCUAGCACAAAAUGCAGAGACAGCACCGCCGAGUCCAGACUCUAGAGCUUAAGCAACACCCAAGAGUUUCUUGAUAUCCUUCUCCAUGCUAGCUGGAGAAGUGGUUGGAGAGUAGCGAUCAACGACAUGUCCUUCUUUGUCAAUGAGGAAUUUGGAGAAGUUCCACUUGAUACCAUCUCCAAAGAACCCACCUUUGCUUGAUUUCAGAAACCUAUAUAAUGGAGCAGCAUUAUCACCAUUCACGUCAACCUUGUCAAAUAUGGGGUACUCAGCCUUGAAGCGAGUGCAGACCAUUUGCUGGAUAUCUUCAAUGUUUCCAGGCUCCUGUCCACCAAACUGGUUGCAAGGGAAGGCCAGAAUCUCCAAACCUUGAUCCUUGUACUUCUUGUAUAACUCCGUCAUGUCAGUGUAGUUCGAAUUAGUCAGGCCACACUGUGAUGCAACAUUGACAAUGAUAAGGACUUUUCCCUUGUAAAUACUGAGAUCAACGUCCUUGCCCUUAGCAUCCUUGACAGUGAAAUCAUAAACAGAUUGAGGGUUGCUUGAUUGACUAGCCAUGGUAUGAUCUGAUCUUAAACCCCACAACUCAAAACCCUUAGAGGUAACCAAAGAAUUGGGUAAAACUGUUCGGAUCGGCUUAGAGAAAGACGAAACAGGAAGAUUAAACACAGAAUUGAACUGGGUUUGUCUUAGAAUCGAAGAAAAUCGCCUUAAAAUACUGAGAUUUUGCUUUGGGAUGAGAAGAACGCGAGCUGUAGAACAAAGCAUUU